This is a long non-coding RNA of Cottoperca gobio, 437 nucleotides long. RefSeq lists it as uncharacterized. The record is from RefSeq and is a predicted model, not a curated record. Lineage: Eukaryota; Metazoa; Chordata; Actinopteri; Perciformes; Bovichtidae. The transcript is spliced from 5 exons.
UCUUGAAUUGUUGCCAGAGCCCAAGUUUGCUGAGAUAUUAUAAAUAUGAACGAUGAUGGACUGGUCAUCUGUCCAUGGUGUCUCCUUGCCUUCCAUCCAGUGCAUGAUGGGAAGGGCUCAAGGGCAGACAAGCAAGCUAUAAGAAUACAAAUAAAAAGAAAAGUUCCACUAAAUCGUGAGCGGAUCUGUUCCAGCUAUAAGGAGCAGCCUAAGGCCGGAGUUGUGUCCAUGCUCUUACUAACCAGGACUAUCACAGCUGCUGCCUGUUUGUGAGCCUCCUGCAUGCCUGGCCCCUCUGGAUUAGCUGGCUUGUUUGGACAGCCUUCUCCUGCCAGACUCUUGAGCUUCCUCGCACAGCGAAUGCUUUAAUUCCCUGUACUACUGCUUAGUUAUUUACUAUUGUGUCAUUACUAAUUAACAAUAAACUUAAUUAUCAC